This 2406-nucleotide long non-coding RNA is filed under the name Monodelphis domestica (gray short-tailed opossum). RNAcentral describes it as "lncRNA (ENSMODG00000049057.1)". The record is from RNAcentral. Lineage: Eukaryota; Metazoa; Chordata; Mammalia; Didelphimorphia; Didelphidae.
GCUAAUUUUCAUGAGGUUAGAGAGCCAGUUGAUAAUACAUGAAUAAUUCAAACUCUCCCAUUCUUUCCAUUUGGCCUCCUGCCCCCUAUUUAUACAAUAGAAUUUGUCAUUUUUUUGGAUGUGUUAGAUUUCCUCUUUGUUAUUGCGAAAUGAUUACAAUCACCCUCUAUAUAAUCCUGACAAGGCUCCCUGCAAGACCAAUAGCCCUGUGGAAGAGAGAGGCUGCUAAGACACCAUGGUAAGUGACAGGUUCAUGUUGGAAAGGGAAGAAAAGGAACACUGCUGGUUUUUUGGGAUGAGGGCAUUUGUGUUUCUGCUGAAAGCUUCCAGUGCUCCCUGGGGCUGCUUGUUGAUUUUCCUCCUGGGCUCCCUGAAGAGAGGCAGCAUGAUAUAGUGGAUGGGCAGCUGUCCUGGGAGUCAAGAAGUCCAGGAUUCUAGUCCUACCUCUCAUAUGUAUCAUUUGUCAAUAUCCUGCUUUACUAUCUUAGGCUAAAAGCAGCCAAAUAUUUCAUUUAUCUUGGCAGAGAUAGUUCCCCCUCAGUCCUCUAUUAUCCAUUGAAUAUUAUAUAUGUUAUUUUUUUUAAAAAAGCAAUUGUAAACUUUCAAUUGGCCAGGAUAGACCUUACCUAAAGUCCUUACCAUAAUGCCCCUCUUCCAGACCCCCAGCCCAGCAAGAAUCUGCCCACUUCCCCAAUAUGCCUGGACCCAUUGUAGGCAGUUCUUACUCUGUGUCGGUAUCACCUUCCCUGUCCAUUUCCCUCCUUUUAUCCCAAACCUCUUUUCUCUCCAGAGAAAUACGUUCCUAGUAGAAGAAUUCAUAGUCCUGAUCUGACUUCAAUUAUGACAUAUGAAUGGAAUGAGAGCCUUUAUGAAGUGACGAAUACAAGGGAAGCAGGAAAAUCUGGAGAAAUCUGAAUGAUCAGAUGCAGAGUGACGAUGGCAGGAAAAUAAUGUCGAUAAGUAGUAGAGAAAUGACAGAAAAGAAGAAAAUUCUAAAAAGUCUUCUAAACAAAGAUGAAAUGCGAUCAUCAAUGUUGUUUUCAAAGUAUAGAAGACAAAAUAAUACUAUACUAGGUAUUCUCCUUACCUGGACUAUCUUUGGGAUAUUAUAUGAGGCUCAGUGCAUUGAUAUUCCGUUGGAGAGCGAUAUGGAAGAUCUAAGAAAUGAUUGCAGAAAUCGUAAUCAUGACUUUAAUGAAUGGGACACUUCCUGGAUUACUGAUGACUGUGAAAUGUGUCAUUGUUCCCCGAAAGGAAUAGAUUGCACUAGCGUUAUUUUAAGGCCUAUGGGAUAUGACAAAAAGAAAUGCAAGGAAGUUUUCAAUGCAGAAGAGUGUAUUUACAAAGCUGUAGAGAAAAAUAAUCCCUCUCAAAGCUGUAAAGUCUCAAAAUAUAUUAUUUAGUCCUUCUACCUCCUUCUGUUUUUGCUGCCAAAGUCACCAUCUCCUAAUGGAACUUGUGCUCACAUGAAAUAAUGACUCUCUACUUGGAAGUCGGAACAGAAGACUGUGAGCUAUGUGGGCUGGACCUUGGAUUUCCAUUCUCUUGAAGGUCUUGUCAUGUCUCAGGCACUCUGAUUCAGACCACAGAGUGCCACCUCUCGGCCUCCUGAAAGUUGUAUAAGUACCUCCUGUAACCUGUUGUCUAAUGAAUAACUCAAGAAAAUAUAUGUUCCCCUAGAAUGAAAUGGAAUUCUGCUCUUUUCCCUUAUAGCAAUCGACAUCCAAAGUCAUUAUGGUGGUGGGCGAUUUCAUUAUGUUCUUUCUCAGAGGUAAUCCCUAGGAAGUACUCUUUGGGCUAUUAGACUGAAUUUUUUUUGUUUUUGUUUUUAUGUCUACUCAGCUCCCAGAUCUGUGUUUGGGAAUCCUGGCACCACAAACCUGGUAGAAUCAGGAUUCUAAAGAAUGUAGGAGAAAAUGGAAAGAGGGAUAUCAUGUUCAAGGUGGUAUAUUUACCAAUGAUGACUUUCAGUUGGGUAGCAAGACAAAAGAUAUCAUGUACGUGUAGGAAUGAUAGGAUCCUUAUGUUGUAGGGAUUGAUAGGUCCCCUACAUUAUAGAGACUCCGAGUAAAGAAUCAAAUACAUUGAAGAUACCUGAAUGAACUAGAAAUGACCUAGGGCUGAACCUGGAAUAUGUUUCAUCAGCAGAACAUGUUAUGAGAUGUCCUCUUAUGUAUGUUUUCCUGCAUCUUAUCGAUAUCCCCGAAUACUGCAAUCACAGAGUACAUUGUACCCACUAGAUGAAUAUCUUGAGAGGAUGCUUUGUUAUCCUCAAGACUCUCUGUGAUUGGCUAUAUGUUCCUAUGAACAUAUUACAUAAAAUCAUGUGGAUGGAUAUGUUUAGGUAGGAAUCCAACUGUGUAUAAAUAUCAUUACUCCCUUCAAUAAAGUUCCCUUUGAUUGCCA